Molecule: ribosomal RNA, 253 nt
Filed under: uncultured bacterium
Lineage: Bacteria
Description: partial 16S ribosomal RNA
Rfam family: Bacterial small subunit ribosomal RNA
Source: RNAcentral
UACGGGGGGGGCAAGCGUUGUUCGGAAUUACUGGGCGUAAAGGGCGCGUAGGCGGUUGGAUAAGUCAGCUGUGAAAACCACGGGCCUAACUCGUGGCCUGCAGUUGAGACUGUCUGGCUUGAGUGUGGGAGAGGAGAGUGGAAUUCCUGGUGUAGCGGUGAAAUGCGUAGAUAUCUGGAGGAACACCGGUGGCGAAGGCGGCUUCCUGGACCGACACUGACGCUGAGGCGCGAAAGCUAGGGGAGCAAACGGG